AUUGAACGCUGGCGGCAGGCCUAACACAUGCAAGUCGAGCGGAUGAAGGGAGCUUGCUCCUGGAUUCAGCGGCGGACGGGUGAGUAAUGCCUAUGAAUCUGCCUGGUAGUGGGGGAUAACGUCCGGAAACGGGCGCUAAUACCGCAUACGUCCUGCGGGAGAAAGUGGGGGAUCUUCGGACCUCACGCUAUCAGAUGAGCCUAGGUCGGAUUAGCUAGUUGGUGGGGUAAAGGCCUACCAAGGCGACGAUCCGUAACUGGUCUGAGAGGAUGAUCAGUCACACUGGAACUGAGACACGGUCCAGACUCCUACGGGAGGCAGCAGUGGGGAAUAUUGGACAAUGGGCGAAAGCAUGAUCCAGCCAUGCCGCGUGUGUGAAGAAGGUCUUCGGAUUGUAAAGCACUUUAAGUUGGGAGGAAGGGCAGUAAGUUAAUACCUUGCUGUUUUGACGUUACCAACAGAAUAAGCACCGGCUAACUUCGUG
RNAcentral lists this ribosomal RNA (484 nucleotides) under uncultured bacterium. RNAcentral describes it as "partial 16S ribosomal RNA". It matches the Rfam family "Bacterial small subunit ribosomal RNA", at positions 30 to 507 of the family's 1533-position model. The record is from RNAcentral.